Molecule: unclassified non-coding RNA, 228 nt
Filed under: Hevea brasiliensis (rubber tree)
Lineage: Eukaryota; Viridiplantae; Streptophyta; Magnoliopsida; Malpighiales; Euphorbiaceae
Source: RNAcentral
GUCUACUGCCUCUAUUGCCAUUACAGGGACAAGUAGCCAUAGCUCCAUAAGCAUUCGUUAAGCAAUCGGAGCAAUCCUGAGGAGAUAAGUCAGGAGUACAUUGCACGAGUGCAUAUAUAGUCUGAUCAUUUGGAUCCGUGGCACUACCAGUGGCAUAUUUGCGAAGAGGAUCACCAUUUGCAGCUUCCCCUCGUAAUCUAUCCACUAAUUUCUUGAGCUCCCGGUUAA